UUUAAUUCGAUGCAACGCGAAGAACCUUUACCUGGUCUUGACAUCCACAGAACUUUCCAGAGAUGGAUUUGGUGCCUUCGGGAACUGUGAGACAGGUGCUGCAUGGCUGUCGUCAGCUCGUGUUGUGAAAUGUUGGGUUAAGUCCCGCAACGAGCGCAACCCUUAUCCUUUGUUGCCAGCGGUCCGGCCGGGAACUCAAAGGAGACUGCCAGUGAUAAACUGGAGGAAGGUGGGAUGACGUCAAGUCAUCAUGGCCCUUACGACCAGGGCUACACACGUGCUACAAUGGCGCAUACAAAGAGAAGCGACCUCGCGAGAGCAAGCGGACCUCAUAAAGUGCGUCGUAGUCCGGAUUGGAGUCUGCAACUCGACUCCAUGAAGUCGGAAUCGCUAGUAAUCGUGGAUCAGAAUGCCACGGUGAAUACGUUCCCGGGCCUU
This 438-nucleotide ribosomal RNA is filed under the name uncultured Enterobacteriaceae bacterium. RNAcentral's name for it is "bacterial SSU rRNA". It matches the Rfam family "Bacterial small subunit ribosomal RNA", at positions 945 to 1382 of the family's 1533-position model. The record is from RNAcentral. Lineage: Bacteria; Pseudomonadati; Pseudomonadota; Gammaproteobacteria; Enterobacterales; Enterobacteriaceae.